RNAcentral lists this ribosomal RNA (256 nucleotides) under uncultured bacterium. RNAcentral describes it as "partial 16S ribosomal RNA". It matches the Rfam family "Bacterial small subunit ribosomal RNA", at positions 99 to 353 of the family's 1533-position model. The record is from RNAcentral.
CGGACGGGUGAGUAACGCGUGGGUAACCUGCCUUAUACAGGGGGAUAACAGUCAGAAAUGGCUGCUAAUACCGCAUAAGCGCACAGAGCUGCAUGGCUCAGUGUGAAAAACUCCGGUGGUAUAAGAUGGACCCGCGUUGGAUUAGCUUGUUGGUGGGGUAACGGCCCACCAAGGCGACGAUCAGUAGCCGGCCUGAGAGGGUGAACGGCCACAUUGGGACUGAGACACGGCCCAAACUCCUACGGGAGGCAGCAUG